Molecule: transfer RNA, 95 nt
Filed under: Aedes aegypti (yellow fever mosquito)
Lineage: Eukaryota; Metazoa; Arthropoda; Insecta; Diptera; Culicidae
Description: partial tRNA-OTHER
Rfam family: tRNA
About the family: Transfer RNA (tRNA) molecules are approximately 80 nucleotides in length. Their secondary structure includes four short double-helical elements and three loops (D, anti-codon, and T loops).
Source: RNAcentral
CCUUCGAUAGCUCAGUUGGUAGAGCGGUGGACUGUAGAUCGAGAUGAUGGUAAAUAGUAAUCCAUAGGUCGCUGGUUCAAAUCCGGCUCGAAGGA